This 1845-nucleotide long non-coding RNA is filed under the name Homo sapiens (human). RNAcentral describes it as "non-protein coding lnc-FNDC9-2:4". The record is from RNAcentral. Lineage: Eukaryota; Metazoa; Chordata; Mammalia; Primates; Hominidae.
AAAGGGCAGGAAAUGGCUGCGGCGAGGGUCUCUCCACGCUCUCCGCUGUACCGCCGGCGCACCCAGGACCUGCCUCUCGGUUUCGGAGGACCGCUCAGCCCCCAGGCUUCCUGCCCUGGGGGCGGGAAAGGGAGGGAAGGCUUCUUCCACGGCCUCCAUCACCGGGAACCACACCUGCAGCAACCCGAGGACGAGAGCUUCGGCCGCGUUCGGAUCUUAUUGGCCCCACAUGAUUUCCAAGUGCUCUUUUAUCAACCCAGUCUUUAUUGAUUACCUAUCCUGUUCCAAGUACCGUGCCAGGACUUGGGUGUGCACUGGUGUACAAAAGACAGGGUCCUGCCCCCUUGGAGUUUUAUCACCUGCCAGGAGAAACAGGUGUAAAUUAACCUAGCAAACGUCCAGUUACAGCCCAAAGUGCUCUGAGGAGAAGGAGCAGGGUGAAGUGACAGAAGAUGCAACUGGGGCUAGGGGAAGGGGCCUUCCACCAAUUGAGCUUGGUCGCUGAUAGGGCUCCUUCGCUUAAGAAUAAGUUCUUCCGCUCCCUUCCAGUUCCCUGGAGAAGAGUCCCUGAAGCUGCCACCUCUUUUACAGGGGCCUGCCUCAACUUCAUUCUGGAAGAAUUGCCUAACGGACAAAUAGGUGGCAGGAAGCACUGAGAGGACAGGUACCUUUCUCUUCAAGGCUUAUCUGCCGUGUCGGGCUCUUUAAAGAAGCAAUUAUCUGCCCAGCGGUGGCUCACACCUGUAAUACCAAAACUUUGGGAGGCCGAGGAGAGAGGAUUGCUUGAGCUCAGGAAUUGGAGACCAUCCUGGGCAACUCAACGAAACUUCAUCUCUACUAAAAAUUAAAAAAAAAAAAAAAUAGAUGGGUGUGGUGGCAUCCACCUUUUGUCCCAGCUACUCAGGAGGCUGAGGUGGGAGGAUUGCUUGAGCCUGGGAGAUUGAGGCUACAGUGAGCUAUGAUCCUGCCGCCGCACUCCAGACUGGGUGACAGAGUGAGACUCUGUCUCAAAAAAAAAAAAAAAAGAAUGAAAGAGAGAGACGGGGGGAGAGAGAGAGAGAGAAAGGAAGAAAGAAAAAGAAAGAGAGAGAAAGAAGAGAAGGAAAGAAAGAAGAGAAAGAAAGAGAGAAAAGAAAAAGAGAAAGAAACAAUUCUCAUUGAAAUCCAGCCUGGUAGGCCUUCAGACCAGGCUGAAGUCAGGCUGCACCAAAUUCUAACCUUGAGACACCUGAGCAGGUCACUUCACCACUCUGCUCCACAGAGGUCACCGUAUCUGCAACACAGGGAAUAACAGUUGCCCUUUAUACCUUACAGGGUAAAUAAUUUGAAAACAUUUGAGACAUUGUGGAGUGUAUGUAGAUAUAAGGAGUGGUUUCCUAAGGCCCACAAAUUUAUACUUAAUCACUCAGCUGUUCCUAAUAAGGGCAAUUUGUGGAGGAGCCCCGUUAUUCAAGCUCCAGCAAAGGACUUGUGGAAGCCUUUGCUUUCCUUUACUGAUCUCACCUUAUUUCCCACGUGCUCAGAAUCCAUAAUUCCUUGUGGUUUGAUCUUAAAUCGCUAAUUCCAAUUCAAAUUGCUAUUUCGGAAAAAAAUGACUUAUAUAUAUAUAUAUAUACACACACAUACAUUUCUUCCCUGGUUCAGUGUGAAAAGCUGUGGGGGUGUUUGUGGAGGAUGGGUUUAAAAACAGAACUGAGGUUUCCUUUUUAAAAAAUGUUUCAUUUUCCACCGUGAUCCUUGGGAUUUCAAGUUCAGUGAUUACAAAUACUUAACAAUGAGAAUCCCAAUAAAUCAGAUUUUCAUUCUAAGGGGCAUAUUAUUGCAGAUGGUAUAGUUUUUUGGAAG